UGGGGAAUAUUGCACAAUGGGCGAAAGCCUGAUGCAGCGACGCCGCGUGAGGGAUGACGGCCUUCGGGUUGUAAACCUCUUUCAGUAGGGAAGAAGCGAAAGUGACGGUACCAGAGGAAUAAGCACCGGCUAACUUCCGUGC
Molecule: ribosomal RNA, 142 nt
Filed under: uncultured bacterium
Lineage: Bacteria
Description: partial 16S ribosomal RNA
Rfam family: Bacterial small subunit ribosomal RNA
Source: RNAcentral